AGGUUUCCGUAGGUGACCUGCGGAAGGAUCAUUAUCGAAACGAAUGGAAUGGGGGAGCAAGACGGCAAAGCAAAAGACUGUCGCUGGCUAGAUUCAUUUCUGGCAUGUGCACGUCCUUGCUUUUUUCGUCGACCUUUCUCUUUCUUUCUUUCACACCUGUGCACCCGUUGUAGGUCCUCGAAAGAGGAUCUAUGUUCUCUAUCACACCCGAUCGUCGUAUGUCCAUAGAAUGUAAUGAAUAAAAUACAACUUUCAGCAACGGAUCUCUUGGCUCUCGCAUCGAUGAAGAACGCAGCGAAUUGCGAUAAGUAAUGUGAAUUGCAGAUUUUCAGUGAAUCAUCGAAUCUUUGAACGCACCUUGCGCUCCUUGGUAUUCCGAGGAGCAUGCCUGUUUGAGUGUCAUUGAAUUCUCAACCAUGUCUCGAUCGACUUCGAGGCAUGGCUUGGAGUUUGGGAGUUGCUGGCGUCAAGUCAGCUCUUCUGAAAUACAUUAGCGAUGGACGAGCAUGUCCUGAUGUGCACGGCCUACCGACGUGAUAAUGAUCGUCGUGGCUGGAGCGUUCGGACGUCGCAUCUUCAUGGUCUGUUUCGCUUCCAAUCGAGAGUACCCUUUGAACGCUUGACCUCAAAUCAGGUAGGACUACCCGCUGA
Molecule: ribosomal RNA, 651 nt
Filed under: uncultured fungus
Lineage: Eukaryota; Fungi
Description: eukaryotic LSU rRNA
Rfam family: 5.8S ribosomal RNA (bases 248-402)
Source: RNAcentral